GAACUUAAGCAUAUCAAUAAGCGGAGGAAAAGAAACUAACAAGGAUUCCCCUAGUAACUGCGAGUGAAGCGGGAAAAGCUCAAAUUUAAAAUCUGGCGGUCUCCGGCCGUCCGAGUUGUAGUCUGGAGAAGCGUUUUCCGCGUUGGACCGUGUACAAGUUUCCUGGAACGGAGCGUCAUAGAGGGUGAGAAUCCCGUCUUUGACACGGACCCCAAUGCUUUGUGAUGCGCUCUCAAAGAGUCGAGUUGUUUGGGAAUGCAGCUCAAAAUGGGUGGUGAAUUCCAUCUAAAGCUAAAUAUUGGCGAGAGACCGAUAGCGAACAAGUACCGUGAGGGAAAGAUGAAAAGCACUUUGGAAAGAGAGUUAAACAGUACGUGAAAUUGUUGAAAGGGAAACGCUUGAAGUCAGUCGCGUCGGCCGGGACUCAGCCUUGCAUUUGCUUGGUGUACUUUCCGGUCGACGGGCCAGCAUCAGUUUUGACCGCGAGACAAAGGCGGAGGGAAUGUGGCUCUUUCGGGAGUGUUAUAGCCCUCCGUCGCAUGUCGCGGUUGGGACUGAGGACCGCAGCACGCCUUUAUGGCCGGGGUUCGCCCACGUACGUGCUUAGGAUGCUGGCGUAAUGGCUUUAAACGACCCGUCUUGAAACACGGACCAAGGAGUCUAACAUGCCUGCGAGUGUUCGGGUGGAAAACCCGUGCGCGUAAUGAAAGUGAAAGUUGGGAUCCCUGUCGUGGGGUGCACCGACGCCCGGACCAGACCUUUUGUGACGGAUCUGCGGUAGAGCAUGUAUGUUGGGACCCGAAAGAUGGUGAACUAUGCCUGAAUAGGGUGAAGCCAGAGGAAACUCUGGUGGAGGCUCGUAGCGAUUCUGACGUGCAAAUCGAUCGUCAAAUUUGGGUAUAGGGGCGAAAGACUAAUCGAACCAUCUAGUAGCUGGUUCCUGC
Molecule: ribosomal RNA, 944 nt
Filed under: Acanthophysellum lapponicum
Lineage: Eukaryota; Fungi; Basidiomycota; Agaricomycetes; Russulales; Stereaceae
Description: eukaryotic LSU rRNA
Rfam family: Eukaryotic large subunit ribosomal RNA
Source: RNAcentral